This 300-nucleotide ribosomal RNA is filed under the name uncultured Glomus. RNAcentral's name for it is "partial 18S ribosomal RNA". The record is from RNAcentral. Lineage: Eukaryota; Fungi; Glomeromycota; Glomeromycetes; Glomerales; Glomeraceae.
CGUAAGGCGCCGAAUGAGUCAUUAAAAAAUUAACAUCAUCCGAUCCCUAGUCGGCAUAGUUUAUGGUUAAGACUACGACGGUAUCUGAUCGUCUUCGAUCCCCUAACUUUCGUUCUUGAUUAAUGAAAACAUCCUUGGCAAAUGCUUUUCGCAGUAGUUAGUCUUCAAUAAAUCCAAGAAUUUCACCUCUGACAAUUGAAUACUAAUGCCCCCAACUAUCCCUAUUAAUCAUUACGUCGAUCCUAAGAAACCAACAAAAUAGAAUCAAACGUCCUAUUCAUUAUCCAUGCUAAUGUAUUC